Molecule: ribosomal RNA, 254 nt
Filed under: uncultured bacterium
Lineage: Bacteria
Description: partial 16S ribosomal RNA
Rfam family: Bacterial small subunit ribosomal RNA
Source: RNAcentral
UACGAAGGGGACUAGCGUUGUUCGGAAUUACUGGGCGUAAAGCGCACGUAGGCGGAUUUGCCAGUCAGGGGUGAAAUCCCGGGGCUCAACCUCGGAACUGCCUUUGAUACUGCAAAUCUCGAGUCCGGUAGAGGUGGGUGGAAUUCCUAGUGUAGAGGUGAAAUUCUAAGAUAUUGAAAGGACCACCAACUGGCGAAGGCGACUAUCUGGUUUAUAACUGACGUUGAGGCACGAAAGCAUGGGGAGCAAACAGG